CAGAGUCUGGAAAACAUUGGCAACAGGAGAAGGGCAUGGAUGAUUGGGUCUGGGUGGUAUCUAUUCCCCCUCUGAAAUGUGGUUCUUACACUGCCCAUAGCCUUCCUCCAAUACUUUCUACUGAGGAACUGGAGGAAUUACAGAAGAAGAAGAAGGAACUCAAAUUUCAAAUGAAUACUGUGCAGUUGGCCUGUUGAUGAAGACAACAGCUGAAGUGCGGCCAAAGGAGUCUGAGAUGGCAUCGAUCCCCGUAAAGAGAAACUACUUUGUUUCCCAAGCUUCAAAGUGUCAACCUGGAAAUUCAGAGAAACCGCCACAUGCAUCAAGAUUCAAGGACGCCAAAUGUCCUUUGAAAACACAAGAAACAAAAAAAACACCCAAUACUUUGCGCACUGAAUGCCAAAGAAA
Long non-coding RNA from Amblyraja radiata (thorny skate), 408 nucleotides. RefSeq lists it as uncharacterized. The transcript has 4 exons. NCBI's taxonomy places the organism in Eukaryota, Metazoa, Chordata, Chondrichthyes, Rajiformes, Rajidae. The record is from RefSeq and is a predicted model, not a curated record.